AGAGAAGGGGCGAAGCCUUGGCCGCAGGCGGAAAGGCUGUUUCUGUAGCGCCCCCCCCCACCCCGGGUCUGUGUGGGCCCCACCGUAAAGCCGCUUAGGCGCUAAGCAGCCUCGCGGGGCGCCGAGUUACAGCCCCUGUGAGCGGGGCGGGGGCGUGUCCUGGAACCUGCCGUGUGACGUGACCUGGGGGCGGGGCGGGGCAGUAGCGGGGUCCCAGGGCAAAGGGGAUCCUGGUGGGCCGCGCAGCAGCUCCAAGGCCGCCCUGCCCUGGCUCCGUCAGAAGCACCGGCGUGUCCUGGGGCUCCACGCGCUGCCCCCUCCCCGGGCUCCGCAGCGCCCAUUGCCUGGCAACCGGGGGCAAUGGGAGCUGCAGGGGCGGGUGAGGGCAGCUAAGCGGAGCCUCCCUGGCUGCCCCUGUGCGCAGGGACCGCAGGGACAUACGGGCCGCUUCCAGGAGCUACGUGAGGAGCCAGAGAGGAAAGUGAUCUAGCCCUGGUUCAUAAAGAUGACCUCCCCCUAGGCCUCUCUAUGCAGCCCAGAGAAUUCCCCCACCCACAUACUGCAGUGGAGUCCCCCGCAGGGAUGUAAGGCUCUUUGGGAUCUCAGAAACAUGGGCGCUGGUGUUGAGGCAGUGCUCAGACAGCCAUGACUGGCCCCCAUAUGAACUAAGUAAAUUGGCGGAG
Long non-coding RNA from Mauremys reevesii (Reeves's turtle), 683 nucleotides. RefSeq lists it as uncharacterized. NCBI's taxonomy places the organism in Eukaryota, Metazoa, Chordata, Testudines, Geoemydidae. The record is from RefSeq and is a predicted model, not a curated record. The transcript has 3 exons.